UACGCAUUAGACCAUAGAACUAUAUAAAUUUUUGUAUAGUGAAUAUAUAUUUUAAUUAUUGUUUCAUCAACAAGAUAAUGUUCAAUAAAAAUAUAAUUAUGCUAUAAUAAAAUAAUGUCGCAGUUUUAUAUAAUGGUUUUAAAUACAUUUUUCCAAAGAACUAUUAUUAAACAUUUUAAAAUAUUAAAUUAUUUUUCUAAUACAAAUAUUAUUAUUUAAUUUUAACCAUAAAAAAAAAAAAAAGCAUAUUUCUAAAUUCGUGGCUCAAGAAGCAACACCACCAAUGAGACUGACCACUGACAUCUCAUUUUCUGAAAUUUUUCACGAGAAUAGAUAUGCAUAGAUUUAUAGGUUAUGACAUUCGAAUGUAAUUUGUAAUGUUUUCUAGUAAGUGGUUCACCUAGGUUGUCUGUGGAUUUUAUCAACAAAUUUGAACACACCAGUCGAUUAAUCGUGAAAUUCUACGUAAAACCAUGUUCCCAAUUCAAUUUGACCAAAAUAUGAGACAGGCGGUGUUGCUUUUGAGGAGACGUUAUACACGGUCUUCUAAAUUCCACGUUAGUUCCAGAUUUUCCAUGAAAUAUUUAUUUUUUGAAAUCAUAUAUUUUAAAAAUGUUCUAUUGUCCUAAUUUUGUUCAGCCUUACUUUUUGGAUGUGAAACGAAAAAUGUCAACACUUAAAUGUAUUGUAAGUUGGUAUUUUUUAAUCAAAAGUGGAUGGUGGUUUCAUACCCAGAAAAUUAGAGUAAACACAACAUUUUAGAAUAUACGAUUCCAAAUUUAUACGCAAGUCAUUUUUGAAAAAAUAAGUAUUUCAUGGUCAAUUUUACCGUAAUUUGAAAUCCAAAGGACCAUGUGCAUUUAAAUAAGUAAAGCGAUCGACGUGUUACCUAAAUACAUUAUAUUAAAAUUAAAUUUUGUACUUUGCUUACCGUAGCGUUUUAAAUAAUUUAUAACACCAUUAACUAAUACUAAUACCAAUAUUAAUUAUAAUAUAUUUUUUAUACAAUGUAUAUUAUGUUAAAAAUGCCAGAGUUCUACACUAAGAAAAAAAAAA
Non-coding RNA from Cinara cedri, 1056 nucleotides. Lineage: Eukaryota; Metazoa; Arthropoda; Insecta; Hemiptera; Aphididae. The record is from the annotation of a GenBank genome assembly.